RNAcentral lists this long non-coding RNA (1228 nucleotides) under Pan troglodytes (chimpanzee). RNAcentral describes it as "long non-coding RNA NONPTRT010732". The record is from RNAcentral. Lineage: Eukaryota; Metazoa; Chordata; Mammalia; Primates; Hominidae.
GUGGGCUAAGCAUGGGACCCACGUGGGGUGAGGACACAUGGCGAUAAAGAGAGCCAGGCCCUUGCUGCCAAGGAGCUUUCCCGUAACACCGAUGCUUCAAACAAAAGGUAGUAAAAGUGCCUGGGUUUUUGCGUUGAAAUAUCUUUCCCUUCAACUGCUCACCAAGGUGCUUUUACUCCCUGUCACCACCGCUGCCUGCCAGAGGCAGUGACCUUGGGUCCAGCUGGCGCCUGUCAACCUACACAACCACACAGUGAGAGGCUGCCUAAAGAAAGGCGUUUAUUCAGGAGCAGAGCAUUGCAACGGUAAUACGCAUGUCAUAGUAAAAUGUGCAUAUUCGAGGAGGCAGAGGAAGAAAGGAAGAGGAAGGUUUUCAAAGAAAAAGAUGAUUUGCCUUGUGUAGCUCUUUAUGUUCUGAGAUGAGCAGAUGACAGAUUGGGAUGCUGGAGAUUUUGAAUGUGCACACCGCUGGGAAGACCACGCCAAUUGGCUUACACGCCGAAUUCAAGGAGGAUUUUGUAAAACUUUCCUGCUAAUUUGAAAGAGCUGCACCACAGAACACAGUAUAUGGUUCAAAGUACACAGUACGUAUUGGUGUGCCUGAUUGAGACUCAGGUGUACAAAGCCAUGAGCGAAGUUCAGGUGAGAGUUCCUUGAAGCUUCACUGCAAUUCCCCAGCCACAGAGUGUCUGAAGACUGCUGCAGGUCCAGUUUGAGUUGCUUUUACUCUCCAGGAACACACAGAUGUGACUAAAAAAAUCUGCAUUCCCCUAAAGUAACAGCAUUCAUGCUACUCCAGAGACCCAGACAAAGGGGAAUUAAGCUUGCUUGAACUUGAGCCUGGGGACCAGGAUGCUGAUGGAGGCUUUGCAGAUUCUUGGGUCUCCAUGGAGACGAACAGACUCUGGCAAAAUUUCCUUCUUGGGAGAAAGGCAGUGUUGGCUGCUUUCUUUCCUCUGGCCACCCUGAGAAUGCAAGACUCAUAAAAGUGCUGUGUAUAGAUUCUCUGCAGACACGGGGCCAUUUUGUACCAUUUCUGGCCUCUUCAGAGCCCUCCUGAAGUGCUCUCUGGCAUCCAGCAUCCAGGGUGUCCAGCUGCCUCCACAAACAGCGAGAGCUCAUCAGUAAUGGGUGACACUAGUCACACAACAAAGAGCCAUGUGUCUGGUUCAUAGCACCUUAUCCAAAGUGAAUGCUCACUAUGGUUUUUAGCAAAAAAUGUGUGGAG